This is a non-coding RNA of Cinara cedri, 356 nucleotides long. Lineage: Eukaryota; Metazoa; Arthropoda; Insecta; Hemiptera; Aphididae. The record is from the annotation of a GenBank genome assembly.
AAUACAUAGACAUUUACUUGGAAUGUUUGGCACUAUUAAGUGCUAUAUUUUAUUUAAAUAUAAAACAUAUCAUUGUACUCAAUCCGUAUACGUCCAAUCACCGAGAAACAUAAAUGCAAUAAAACAAUAACGGUGCAAAUUGUUAAUACAGGUAUUAUUAAUAUCAUUAAUACAGGAGAUUAAUCGUAACCGUUGGAUAGGUAUAUCGCGGUAAUCUAUUGGAUAUGAUAACAGACGGCAUUGUAGUGUUUGCGAAUGACAAAGUUGAUUAUUACGUAUACGUACUAUGACUCUGUCCUGAUUUUUUGCUUACUGUUAUUCUAGAAUAAGUUACGAAUGCGAAUUCAAUAACGAGC